Molecule: ribosomal RNA, 251 nt
Filed under: uncultured prokaryote
Description: partial 16S rRNA
Rfam family: Bacterial small subunit ribosomal RNA
Source: RNAcentral
ACGGAGGGAGCUAGCGUUGUUCGGAAUUACUGGGCGUAAAGCGCACGUAGGCGGCUUUGUAAGUCAGAGGUGAAAGCCUGGGGCUCAACUCCAGAACUGCCUUUGAGACUGCAUCUCUUGAGUUCAGGAGAGGAGAGCGGAAUUCCAGGUGUAGCGGUGAAAUGCGUAGAUAUCCGGAAGAACACCAGUGGCGAAGGCGGCUCACUGGACUAGAACUGACGCUGAGGCGCGAAAGCGUGGGGAGCAAACAG